Long non-coding RNA from Oxyura jamaicensis (ruddy duck), 1715 nucleotides. RefSeq lists it as uncharacterized. The transcript is spliced from 3 exons. The record is from RefSeq and is a predicted model, not a curated record. NCBI's taxonomy places the organism in Eukaryota, Metazoa, Chordata, Aves, Anseriformes, Anatidae.
AGUGAGCUGCCAGAGAACUCAGGUGGCGUUGGCAGCAUUUUGGGGUGAAAACUCCUAUUCCCCUUGUUUUUCCAGUACUUCCCACAGUGCCAGGUGAUUAGGCAUUAUGGAAGGGAAAAGCAGCACAAAACACAAGGGAAACCUGGAGAUAUUUAAAGCCCGUCUGGACACCUACCUGGGCAACCUGCUCUAGGGAACCUGUUUUGGCAGGGGGGUUGGACCCAAUGAUCUCUUGAGGUCCCUUCCAACCCCUACAAUUCUGUGAUUCUGUGAUUGAGCAUGUUAAAUGCUUAAAGAGCUGCUCUCCGUGCCAAAGAGCUGCACCAGGGGCCACCUUGGUGUGGCGGGAUGGGGAUCUGAUGGCUCUUUUUCUUAUGGGGUUUGGUUAUAAGGCAUGAGUCUGCAUCCACUCAGCUUGGCAAUAAACCUUCUUUUCUUUUUCAGAAUGAGAGAAUAACACCAGUCCAGCAGUAAAUAAAGGUUACGAUACCCAAUAUAAACAUUCAUUGGCAUCCUACGCCCACAUGGCUGCAUGUUGCCUGGUUACAAGUAUAAAAGGCUAUUGGCUUAUUUAUCUAGGAAAUCUGUCCUGGGUAUAACCUCAUGUCUGCAUUUAAACCAGAGUAAUUCACUCGGAGCAAACAACAGUAUAGGUGAUCUCAGCGUGGUCUGCCUCUUUGGCCCCCGUAAUUUUCCAGCUCACCCCAAAUAAACCUGAUUUUAAGUGACUGAAGCCUCCAAAGGGGGCUGACAAUGCCGGUGGGUAACCUGCCAGUGAUUUAAUUAAUGUGGGUGGCUAUUUUUGUGCUCAUAAACCACACUGAGGGCAGUUGUUCUUGUCUGUUCCUACACCCUGGCUGCAUUUCUGGACUGGAGCAUCCUCUCCAGCCCUGCUGCUGCCCGCGGUGCCAGCUGGGCUGUCUGCUGGCGGCGAUGCGAGCUGGUUUUCUUCCUCCUUUUUCACCCAGAGCUGCCACGUUGUUCGCACUGUACCUGCUACGGCAUCGCCUGGAGCCCACAGCGUUGCAGCGAUGGGUCGAGUGACCCAGAGAGAGGGAAUUAUAUGUAGAAAGGCAGGAGAUAGAGAUGUCAUUAGAGAGAAGCUGGGAGUCGGGAGAGCACCUCCAGGCCUUUUUUUUUUUUUUUUUGUGGAUGAAAGGAGCUUACUUCAGUGAAUAGCAUGAUUAUAUUCAGAUUCCCAUUUAGGCUGCUCCAAGUUGUACAACAAAAGGAAUAUUAAAUGAUACUGCAAAAUUCAUGUUACAAAUCAAUGUAACCUGCAUAAAUCAGCCCAGCCCAGGCAGGAAGGUAGGGCUUGCUUUUCUCAAAGUGGCUGCUUUAGAAAUGAGACACAGCCUUGGAAAUGAAAGGGGCUGCGUCCGGCUGCAGAAGACCUUAGAAGAACACCAUGCCUUCAGCCUGCUGCAUCUCCUUACUCCCUUAUUUUUUUUCCAGGGCACAAACUGAUCUGGUUAGAGGAGGUUUUAGGAGUUUAUGCAUUUUUUCAGAGCUAAAACUCUUUGUACACAGAAAAUGUCCCCUCUCUUCUGGGUUUAACUGCUUUUCACCUCCCAUCCCACCAGAGCUGGGCCAGGCCAGCAGAGCUGUCCCGGUUUCCCCAGCUCUGCUCAGCACAAGGCAGUAGAUCCGUGCCAUGCUGGAGCUCAACUUCUCCAAAAAGUGUGAUUUUACAGGUAUGUUUUGCAGCCUGAACA